UUUUUUUUUUUUUUUUUUUUUUUUUGUGAUUGAUAAAAUCUAGUACUUGGACGUAGUUUUGUGAUCCACCACAACAACCUUCAUAAACUGCAGAGUAAUUUUUACAUGUGGCAUCAGGCAUGUUUUAAACCAUACUCUAUGCAUGAAAGUCUUCCAAUUUUGUUCAUACAGAUCCAUGUCUUCAUUGAAUCAUCUAAGCAUGAAACUCUAAAGUAGACGUGAAGGGAUUUCCCACGUUUAAAGUACUCGAUAACCUUUAAAUGAUUUGCCUGUAAGUGUGAAGAGAGAAAGCGCAAAAGAAACUCUUCUUUAGUUGUUGAGAUUAGGAGUUCCAUAAAGACAGACAAACCGUUGAACUUGCCAAAAUGUGUGCUGCAUCACUUUCUUUUCCGGCUAAACCUUCUGUAAAAGUUGGCAAUGGCAAUUUCUUGCCCUACAGAUACAGAAAAGGAACCGUAAGAGCAGAAGUGCUGAUAGCUGAUCCCAAGAGGGGUGAACGCAUCUUUCCAGAACUGACAAUUCAAGGAAUUCCUCACAGUGAUCACCAUAUACAUGAGAUUGUCCAGAGGCAAUCGGAAACAAGUGGCUUUUCAAGAAAGGAUGCUCUCAGAAGACCUCAGUUCCCCCCUAUGUUUCUUGAAGAAGCAUAUGAACGAUGCAAGAAAAUCUGCGCAGAAUACGCCAAAACAUUCUAUUUAGGUACUCUCAGGAAUCCCUUCUCUUUGAAAAUCUCUUUCUGAUAAUAACAUACCCGAGGUGAUUAACAUAAUCCGAACCUUACCAAAAUGUGCUUGUGAUCAAUUGCUGCAUAGAAAAUAACAAAAAAAUAAAGCAGACAAGAGAAAAAGAAAUUUGUAUCCAUUUGUUUUGUGCAUCAGUGUAGAGAUUUUCACAACUCAUCAUACUUUGCUACCUUGAUAUCCCUGGCAUAGGAUUGAUGGCAUGCCAACCUUGUCACCACUGGGGACCAUUUCCCGGAGUUCUUGCAUAAAAUGUUUUUGUUAUAACUAACUAGAUAAUGAUAUUGUCUUCUUGAACAAUUCAUAAAAUUAGGCCUCAUAUAUAUGUUGCUCAUGCAGGGACAAGACUCAUGACAGAGGAGAGACAGAAAGCAAUAUGGGCUAUCUAUGGUGAGCUCUUGUUUAAUAUUGGUAGUCCAAAAAAAUUAUGGAAGCAGCAUAGUGAUUAGAUUAACCAUUGAGUACUGAGUAGCAUGUAAUACAGAAGCAUAUCUAUUCACAUCCUAUAUAUGCUCUCUUCUUCUUCUCACGAUGAAAUUGUUGUUCUGUAGUCUGGUGCAGGAGGACAGAUGAUCUGGUUGAUGGACCCAUUGCUGUCUACUUAAGCUCUGCUGCUCUUGAUAGAUGGGAAAAGAGAACAGAAGACAUCUUCAAUGGACGCCCCUAUGAUUUGCUCGAUUCUGCACUUACUGAUACUGUAUACAAGUUCCCUUUGGACAUCAAGGUACUAAAUAAUUGAGAUUGAAAACACAAUUUGACUGCUCUUUAACCUGUUAAACAACAUAUAUUAUUUUCCGUUUCCAGCCCUUUAAGGACAUGAUAGAGGGAAUGAGACUGGACACAUGGAAAAGCCGGUAUGCAAAUUUUGAGGAGCUCUACCAGUAUUGCUACUGUGCAGCUGGAACUGUUGGUCUAAUGAGUGUCCCAGUAAUGGGGAUUGCACCAGAAUCCCAUUUAUCUUCUCAAAGCAUCUAUGAUGCAGCACUUUCUUUGGGCAUAGGCAAUCAACUGACAAACAUACUCAGAGAUGUUGGUGAAGAGUAAGUAUUUAUCAGUUACUAAACAGUAUGUCUUCCCCAAUUCUUGAUAAAUUCCUUAUUCUGAUUGGUGAACAUCAUUCAUUAUUCCGGUCAGUGCUCAGAGAGGGAGAGUUUAUCUUCCGCAAGACGAACUCGCACAGUUUGGACUAUGUGAUGAUGAUAUCUUCUCAAGAAAGGUCACAGAUGGAUGGAGAGAGUUCAUGAAAAAACAGAUUCGACGUGCAAGGUUCUACUUCAAUCAGGCUGAGGAAGGAGCUUCACAGCUUGACAAGGCUAGCCGUUGGCCGGUAAUUUCUUGCAAAAGAUGGCAUAACUUUCUCAUCCAAAAGGAAGAUUAAUGAAUCAACUAACAGUUUAUCGCAAUAAUUAUCAAAUUAUAGAUUUCAUCAUCGCAGAAAGAAUGGAUAGUAUGUCAUCUUGCAAGUAAUUACUUGGUCUGAUUGUUGCAGGUCUGGUCAUGCUUGAUAAUAUACCGCAAGAUCUUGGAUGCAAUAGAGGAAAAUGCCUAUGAUAAUUUGACAAAGAGAGCUUAUGUAGGGAGGGCUAAGAAGCUUCUGACAUUACCUCAAGCUUAUACUAGAGCUCUAUCAAUGUCCAAUUUGGCCUUCCAAUCAAAUCUUUCAUGUGAAAAACACAUAACUGGAGGUCAAUAACCUCCAAUCGUUUCAUAGUGAUACGCAAACCAGCUGAAACAGGAAUUUAUUGUCAGUCAGUCUUUGAAUUCAUGUUGAUCAAUCUUUGCAACACUUGAAAGAUCAAAAAGUAAGGAAACACAAAUAAAGAGGGGAAAAAAGUGCCAAGCAAAAUGGGGUUUUUUUUUUCUUAGAAUUAAUCUCCAUGGGUGAGAUUUUCUUCUCUUCAUAUAAAACACCAGCUGGCAAGAAAUUCUUUGUUCAUCUUCUUCCUUUUAAUGCUCUGAACUUGUCAAUCUGGAAUUUUAAAUAAAAACAAAGAUAAAAAAUCACCAUAUGUGCCAAUUAUAUAAACGUGUUCACAAAAUGACGGAGUGCGAGAUUUCUUUGAACAUAUAAAAGCGAACAAAUUUUUCGAUUUGACAUAUUUAGCUGUUCUCAAUUUAAGGCUAAAUAUCUUGUAGUCUUUAGUGGUACAAUUGACAACUUUGUGCGGCAAGAAGAUGGCAUAAUUUAAACUGAGGAAGACUUGGUUUAGCGACUAAUAUUGUGAGACUAGGACUUAGAAAUCCUAGAUUCAAAUCUCCUUCCUCCUUCCCAAUUCUUAAAUCCUUUUCUCCUUUUAUUAGAAAUUUUUUUUUUCUAAAAAAAGAGAGAGAUAGCAUAAUUUAAUCUAUGGGCUUGAUCUCAACUGAUUCUAUUUUUGUAAAAGCUGAUUUUGUAAAAUUGAUUCUUGAAAAUCAUAUAUUUUCAAAAUAACUCACGUGUUCUAGUUUAUUAGUUUAAAAAAUAGUUUUUAAAAAAUCUACAGGUGUUCUCAAGAAAAAGUUAGAAAAUUGAUUUUGUCAAAAAAAAGAGAGAUCAAAUUACCCUUAUAUGCUACAUAAAUGAAUUUUUGUACUAAUUAAAUAAUUUUUUAUGUAAUUAAUGGCUUUUCUUAUGGAGAUUAAAUGUUGAAUGAGAAAAAGAGAGAAGACAUAGAUGAAUUUGGAGGUGGACUGAGGAUAGGAGGAAGAUAGGGAGACGUGCGACAUAGAAAAAUUACAAACUAAAUCAGAUUAUUCAUUGACUUUCAGGGUGACCGUACAAUCUAGAUUGUUUACAUUUUAAAUCAAAAUAGAAAUAUUAUUUUGUUAAAAAGCAGAGUCAUUUGCAAAGAAAAAAGCAAAAGUUCAAUAUGGUAUCAAGUAGUACAAAUUUCUAUCAAAAUGUCUCCAUUGAAGUGAAAGGAAAAGAACUAUAGGCAAUAGCCCCAAUCAUCAACUUAAGAAAUCUAUGAAAUUGUCUGAAAAAUUAUGUUCAAUUAUCAUCUACUAUAGCAAUUUCCUACCAUUUGUUCUAUUCUAUAAAAAUUCAUCUCAUUCAUCAUGCUGUACCUAAGAAUUUACAAUAUUCUGAAAUUGUCCAUGAACAACAAAAGAAUUAUUUUUUUUUUGUAGUUUUGUCAAGUAACUUUUUUUUAGUAACUUACAUCUUUACCUUCACAAAAUAAACUUAAAAAACAUCCAAAAGACAAUGAAAAAAAUUGUGAUCUAUGAGAAAAAUCUAGUGUGUAAUCUCAUAAAAUUCUACCUUAUGGGGUUUGUAAAUAGCCAUUCAAAAUGUUUUCAGAAAAUUCCACAAAACAGUCCCAAAACCAAUCCAUGCGUAUCGUUGCUUAUUUAAGUUCCCAUAGCAAAAUCAAUUCGCCUUAAAGCUUACCCUUAGUAUAAGAGUAUUAUAUUGAACAUUUUCCAAAUAUAAUCACUGUGAGUAUGCGAUAUGAUUAGAACUAUGUAAGUAAGAAAUGUUAAAGAAAGAGAAAAAGAAUACACAUCAAAAAGCUAUAUUCAUGAAGAGAAGAUACUAAAUAAACAAAAGAAUAAUUAGGAUUGUGUAGUUGCUUUAAAAUUUGCUAAUAAUAGACAACUUCUUUAUCCCAACCAAAGAUAAUAGAUGAAAAAGAAAACUAAUUAACCAAUAUAAGUAUGCAAAAUAAAUCAAAGUUUAAAAUAUGCACUUUAUUAUAUACAAUAUAGAAAAGUGUUCUACACAUGCCAUGUUUGAUAAUCCAAUUCAGAAUUUAAAUUUAAUGUAUUCAAAUCUUAAUAUAUUCAGGUACAUUUGAUAACUAAAACUAAAAUAUUUGAAUUCAUUAAGUGACACUGAAUUUUUUAAGGAAAAUUUGCUCCAAAAAAUAAGUAAUAAACUAUUUACUUAUCACUUAAUGUAAUAUACACUCAAAUAUAUCAAAUUUAAUACUUAAAAAUUCACUAAUUUAAUGGAUUUAGAUUUUAUAUUUCAAACUUCAAAAUUUAGUUUUCAGAUUUUAGUUUUAUCAAACGUACCCUUAGUUUUAGGCUCUUCUUUAAACCUAUUAGGUCAAAGUAUAGGCUUGGAUGCAUGAAAAUUAUAUAUAUAUAUAUAUAGUUCAAGUUUAUGGUUUUAGUUCAAGCCCUAUCCUCUGUCAUGUAUAAAGAAUGGAAUAUUUGAAUUAGUGAAAACAUAAAUAAUUGAGUCAAAGUUGAGAUGAUGUGUUAGGGAAGUUUGGUACUUUAUAUUAGUUCAAAUAAUUAGAAAAAAAGCCUAAUAAGAAGUGUCCUAAUUUCAAAGAGUAAUGCUCACAUAGAGGAAAACAUAAUAGUAAUGUACUACUAUAAAAAUAUUUAUAAAAUGAAAAUUUUGAGAUUGUAUUUUUAUGUUGUUCAAAUAUUUUUUCUAGAAUAAUAUCACGAUAGAAUUGAAUUUCGUGACUUCAUUAACACAAGAUUUUGUUAAACAAAGUCAUGAACUAAGAGUUUAACAUACAAUUGAUACAACAAUUUCCUAUGUGCAGUCUUAAAAAAUGAAAAAAUGAAAGAUAAAUUUUAUAAUAAAUGAAUAAAAGAAAAAUGUAUGUUUUGUUACAAGAUAAGAAAAAGAUUAAAUAUUUAGUUUGAUUACGCAAGUUAGAAUAUAUGAGCAUCUAUGUAGUUUUUUUAAUGUCCAUUCUGAAAAAUUGAUGGGAAACACACCUUGCAUUUUGGGAGAUCCGAUUUCUUGCAAGAAUGUUAGAUUUUCUAGGAAAAGCAAAUAGAUCAAAAAAAAUUGGGAAAAGCAAAGAGAUGAAAAAAAAUUGGGUUUGUUACAGUAUUUUUAUUCUUUUUUUAAAAAAAAAUUUGAUGCUCUAUUCAAAUCAUGAGAAAUGGGAAAUUUUCCUUAAUUUAGUAUUCAACACAUUAGAUUUUGGGUGAAUUUCAAUUUGGCCUUUCAAAGUAGACCAAAGUGUCAAUUUAGCCCCUAAAAGUGAUUUAACUCCCAAUUAAGCCCUUCAAAGUGGAAAUCUGAUUCCAAAUAAGCUUUUUCACCAUUUGAUAUUUGGUCAAUAAAAUUUGACAAUACUUUAGUAGUAAAGUGAAACCCUACCUAUUUUUUAGGGACUUUAAAACAAUUAAUUUCUUGCCUAAAUGAUCUAAAAGGGAUAAAAUAUUGCUCUUCUAAUCUUAAAAAAAAAUUCUGAUGCUAUUUUUAGUGUUCCAAAUCUGGUUAGAAGAGUAUUAUUCUAUUCCUUUUGGAUCAUUUAAGUGAGAAGUUAAUUGCUCAAAAGUAAGUAAAAAUUAUUAGAUUUCACUAUACCACUAAGGUUUAAUUAAACGUUAUUGAUCAAAUGUAAAUUGACAGAAGGUCCUAUUUAGAACAAAAGUUCCAGUUAAGAGGGCUUAAUUGAAACUUGUUCACUUUCAUGGACCGAAUCAAUACUUUGGUCUAUUUCAAAGGGCUAAAUCGAAAUUUGCCCUUUAAUUUUUUACAAUUUCGUUUAUUUGGUGUUCAGAUCAUUGAAUUUUCACCGUUAUUUUUAGUAAAAUGCACCAAUUCUAAAGAUGUUUCUUUAGUUUGGUGUUAUAACAAGUGUCCAUAGGGCAUUCAUUAGAAAAAUCGUUAAUUAUUAGAUAGUUAUAGCUAUUUUUGUUAAGGUUAAUAAAAGAUUAAGGUAGUUGGGGGAAUCUUUCUUAACAUUUAAUUAUUCACUAUAAUUUUGGUAAAGUUAGGAAAUUUUAACCAUCGUCUAAUUUUUUGGUAACGUUUAGAAAUUUCGGUUGUUAAGGACUAAAGUUUUUUUUAAGAAAAAACUAUUUUUAGAUUGACACAAAAGGAAUUAAUGAUACUAAAUUAGCAGUAGAAGGCGCUAAUUCAGAAAACAUGUUUAGCUUUUUUCUAGGUUAACUCACCUAUAUAUGAGUGUGACUAGCUGUUAAUUUGUCUACUUCUUUUGCAUUUGAAAAUUCUACACUACAGCCUCUUAAAUCCCACGGCAAACCAUGAGGAGUUACUCUAGUUUUGCAACUGCGAUUGUUCUUCUCUUCAUCACAGUCGGUAAAGAAUCUCAUUACUUCUCUUUUUUUUUUUUUUCCUUAAAUGCCUGUUUUGCUGUUCUUCAUGAAUAAUACGAGGAAGAUACUAGUUUUGAUUAGAUUACAGUGUAGAAUCAUAGAAGACACAAUAGACACUUUUUAAUAUUAUGAUUUUUAGUGCACUUCAACUAUCAAGGCAUGUCAUUUUCAACUACUACAAAAGAGUAUCCAACUAUUGUUUCAAGAGCUUAAAUUAAAUCCCAUAAAAUCUUUCUCCAGUAGUUUCGUCUUCUCUAUUUUCUAUAAAAUUAUUCCUUUGUAAGAAGACUAUUCAAAGAGUAAAUAAGAAGUUAAAUAGUUUCCAACUAGAAAUGUCAAUGGGUCAAAUCUUAUGUAGAUCCAACCCAAACCUAAUAUAAUUGGAUAGGAUUGGAUUUAAUUUCUCAAAUUCAAACUCUACCUAGAGAGUUAUAAGCCUGAGUAGGAUCUGAUUUUUUAUGAUCCAUACCUAAAUAUAGAUCCAACCCUACUUAGACUCAUGUAUGAAUAAAUAAUAGUGUGUGUAUAUACACAUACGUGUGUGUGUGUAAGUAAAGUUAUAAAAUAAUAUAAUAUUUUAUGACCAUUAGAUCGAAUAUAGUAAGAUUUCAUGACUGCUAGAUUAAAGGAGAAAAAAUAAAGGUAAACAAAUGAAAGAUUGGAUGUGAGUGCAAAUGAAAUUUUAAAGAUAAAUAGAAAUAGUUGAAAAUAAUUUUUUCUUUGAGUUCAUAAUAUUACAUUCAACUUCUUGAAUGUUAAUUUUGUUAUUUGAAAAUAAAAUUAGCUGGUAUUUAUGUUUUUUGGAGCUCUAUAUAUUUUUAAAUAAUUUUACUUUAGUUGUUCAUUGAAUGUUCAGAAAAUUACCCACAGAUACCUAUUGAAUACCAAAAUCCAUGAGGGUUCGAGUCUGAAUUUACUUUUUCAGAUCUAAUUAAAUUUAAUUCUAGAUCUAGAUCAAAGGAAUCCAAUCCAGACGCUACCCAUUAACAUAUCCAAUUCCAACAACAAUAGAACAAGAUAUAUUUAUACACACUUGCAAAAACUGACUUUUUUAAGACAAUGGCAAUUAGGGGUUUUCUUAGUUACUUGCUUUAACAAUAUUCUCAAAUUUCGUUUUCCAACUUUUGAAUGAUCAAAUGUAGGGAAUGGAUCAGUGUCAAAGGUGGACGCAAUAAGUAGAGAAUGUGCAGUCAUUAUUCCUACUGGAAAAACAUGUAACAGCAAUACUUGCAAUGCGGAAUGUUUGAAAGAACAUGGAGGAAAAAACCAAACAAUAGCUAGCGGAUUCUGCUCCAGCUAUAAUCCUGACCAGUGUCUCUGCUUCUUUUGUUGCUUUCCCCAUUGUGGUCUGAAAGACAUCAUGGAAAUGGCAAAAAAGAAACUGGGAUAAAAUUCAUGUCCAUUGCUAUCUUGGUUCAGUUGAUGUUUGUUUUUGGUUUUUUUGGUGAUGCUCACGUUAGAUGAGCAGGAAUUGACCAAAUGGCAAUAAAAGAUAACUUUCUAAGUCUUUUUUUUUUUACCAAUUUACCCUACUCUCUUUCUUCUUUUAGUGUGAAUCAUUUAUUUGCUUUUGAUAUAUUAAAUGUAAAUAAAUUACUGAAUCCCUAGUUUGGACAAUUGAAGUUCUUUCUUGCAUAAUGGUCCAGAGAAGGCGUGGGUGAAGUUCGUGUGGAGGCGUGAUUCUUAAUGCUAUCUUAUUGUAGCCAAAAUCGAAAAGUCAAUCCACGCUUUUUAAUAGGAAGGAGGGGAGGCUUAAAUUUGUGGAGCAAAUACUAAAGCACGUAUUUGUAGUUGGUAUGCAACUAAUUUUCAGUUUGAUUGUCCAUAAUGCAUAUGUUUCUUAACGAAUUUAGUCUACAGAGAUGAUCCACAUGGACAAAAAUCUAUGCGAAUUUUAUGAACUUAUGUUUAAUAAUAGUGAAUUAUGAGUUUAUGACAGAUAAAACAAGGAUCUAUUCUAAAUCAAAACUGAGUUUGGGGUUAUCUUGUUUGCAAAAAAAUUAAUUUAGGGAAUCAGUGAUAAUGCCAGAGUUUCAUUAUAAGCCCAACCCUUUUUUGCAUGCUCAUUCUGUGCCCCUAGAUUACAUAAUUGAGAAAAGCAAAAGAAAACAUAUUGCUGUAGUAGUGCACUGCACAACUAUACAUAAAACAACAUUACUUUGUCCCUCAAGUGGUGAAGAUACUUAACAAUUGAAGUAGUCGAAUCUCUUAUUCUUUUGAUGUAAGCAAAAACUUUUAUUACUAAACUUGCUGAAAAUUUCCUUUUUCAAAAUUUUUUUCCUUCUUCUAAUUUCUUCUCCUUUUGCACAGAAGGCUUCUAUUUUCUUCCUCUUCCAUUUUCUUCUCCAUUAUCCCAAUCGCACUACUAAAUUUUCAAGGUGAAAGUGAAUGCUGCAGCAUUCUUCUUUCGAAAAGUCAAUUGUCAACCUUCCCGCUCAUCUAUUUCAACUUAUUUUGUCUAGGGGUAUAAAUGAGUCUGAAUAAGCUAAACAACUUUUUUAUCCAAAUUUGUUUGAUUUUUUUGAUGAGUUUAAAAUUAUGUUCAACCUUGACUUGUUUACUUUUUUUAGUUGAGCUUAAAUGAGUUUUUAUCAAGUUGAAUUCAAGUAGUUUAUAUAUAAAAUUUCACUUUCAUGCUAAUCAAAUUGAGCUUGAGCUAAACUUGAAAGUUUAUUAAAUACAAAAUGUUAUUCAAGUGUGGUUUGAUUAGUUAGUAAACCAAACUCAAACGAGCUUUUCUUAAACUAAAUUAUCGAGUAACUUGAUUCGUCUUUCAAUCUUAUUUAAGACUAUAAAAAUUAGUUUUUCAAAUACUAUAAAAUAUUUUCAAAAAUACUCUAAAAGGUACUCUAAAAAAUAGUCUUAAUUUUUUUAAUGUUUAAAAAAUAUUCCAAAAUAUAUUCUAAAAAUCCUACUACUCUUAAAUAUUCCAAAAUAUUUUUUAAAAAUAUUCCAAAAUAUACUCUAAAAAGUCUGAUACAGUAAAAUUUUUCAAAAAUACUCUAAAAAAUAGCUAAUCCAAACGGAGCCAUUUAAUGUUUUUCAUUCGAAGUCCAUGUCCAAUUCUCUGUAAAAAACGCAAGAAUGGAAACUUAACUAAAAGCCCACGAGCAUUCGACGGGUACGCUGAAUAUCUUUGCAGCCCAAUGCAGAUGGAGUGUCCAAAAAUUAAAAUACUAUACAAAAAUUUAUUUGAGUAAAAUUAAUUGUGCAUGAUCAAAUAUACAUAAAAAAAAAGUCUUUUCUGGCCAGAUUAGAGCUGGUUUAACAAGUAAAAUUUGGGUAUUUCGUCUAGAGAAGGUUAGAUUCUAAUUCUGAUUUGGUAGGUAUUUGCGCGUGUGUGGAUACUAUUGGACAAAUAUCAGUUAAGAUCUUUGGAUGUUUAUUGAAUAAGUAUUAAAUGCUUUUUUUGAGAUUAAAGGUCACUUGCUUCCAUUAUGUGAUUUUGAGAUCUAUAAGAUUUGUUUGGACGGAUACUACUUACAGCAGUUAUAAGGGCCACUAAGUAAUUCAAAAUCCUCUGGAAUGGAGGGUGUUCUUAGUUUUAACAUUUUUUAAAGGGCUCAAGUUGAGUAAUUCUUUUUCAAGGUUUAAGUUCUUUUCCAUCUCUGGAUCAGUUAAGUGCAAUUUGACAUUUCCACUUCUGCAUUCUUUGCAAAGAAUACCAAAACUCAGAUUGUCCUGAAAUGGUUCUGUUAAGUUGUUUACAGUUAUUAUAGCAAGGGAAUACAUUAAUACAGGUAAUGUGAUGCAUGAACACACUACAGUGACAAAAUGUUCAGUCAUUAUUUGAUCAUGUUGCUUGCACGAUAAUAGUUUGAAAUGUCGAAUGAUGAAAUAUGAUUUUCAUCGACAGUAAAAUAGGGUGGAGCUAAAUCCACACCUCUUUAGUCUAAAUCCACACCCUUUACACCAAAAUGUCUAUAAAGCUCAAACUAUUUAUCAGGAUUUCAUAGGAACUCUUUCAAUACCAAACCUAACCUUUUGUGGUGAAAAAAGAUGAAGUCAAUCAAGUUUAUCUUUUUCCCCACUUUACAGUAUCAUUUUAUCGUCCUUGUCCUUACCUUCCAAUACCGAAGACUUAUAGUGGCAACUAUCAUCAUCAACUAAAAUGCACUAGAGUAUAGCAAACAUUUAUAAAAAAAUUAUUAUUGAUAAUAAAAAAAAACAAAAAUUUCAGGAUCAAAUUGAAGAGUGAUACUUGAUUUUCAAAUAUCUACUGAUAAUAAAAAAGAAAACAAAUGAUGAUCAUGGCAAUGAUUUCAUAUUCACUUGGAACUAGAAGUUUGAAGUUCUUCAGCUGAUGAUAAUAGUUGCUGCUAUAGUUCGUAAAUAUCAAAAGGUAAGGAAUAGGGAUGAUGAAAGGAUGCAAUUGAGUGGGGGAAAAAAUAAACUUAAUUAGCGCCAUCUUUUCCCAUCACAAAAGAUUAGUUUUGGUAUUGAAAAAGUUCCUAUGAAAUUUUGAUAAAUAGUAUGGGCUUUAUAGAUAUUUUGGUGUAAAAAGUGUGGAUUUAGACCAGAGGAGUGUGGAUUUUGCUCCACCCUAAAUAGUAGGGGCUUUAUAGACAUUUUGGUAUAAAAGGUGUGGAUUUAGACUAGAGGGGUGUAGAUUUAACCCCACCCUUUAAAAUAUAGAGAGUGAAGUACAACUAACACCAAACGCUAGGGAGGUUUAUAGCAAUAAACCUACCAUAAAUCUCUAAAAUAGUCCAAUUAUUCCUAAGUAAACAUACAAUAUUUGCUUUCAAUCAAAAGGGAUGUUGAGAAUCUUAAAAUUGUGGCUAAUGAAUAAUCUUGUCAUUGCUUUGAGUAAGAAUAUUUGGCACAUGUAAAGCUUGCAGAUGGAGUGCAAGGUAGUAAAAUAAUUUAUUGACAGGGAGUUUUUUUUGUUUUAAUUACCAUCAGUAUUGAGAUUCAAUCAAAAGGGAAUAUCAAAGAAUAAUUCAUUUAUUUAAUUAGCACCGUAAUCAAAAUGUAACAACUCUAAUAAAAAAAUACUUUUGAGUAUCACAGAAACUAAAGAUCAAGAAAUACUAACACUUAAUUUAUCACACCCAUGUCUAUGUAUAUGUAUGUAUGUAUAUAUAUAUAUAUAUAUAUAUAUAUAUAUAUAUGGUAAGUGGGAGGUGUUAAACCCAACACCUCCUACUCACAAUCCCUCCCCUAUAUGUAUGUAUGUACAUAUAUUAAUGCCAAAAUAUCACUUGCUGUAUACAAUUUGGAUGCCUCUUCCCCUGUCAUUUCCUAUCUCAAAGUUUGCAAGGCAUCCUUCAUGGCAUACAGUUUGAUGUACACACGCACAUAUUAUUGUUGUUGUUGCAUGAAGAGAUGAUCUAUAUGAACAAAACUCACAAGUAUAACAAUAUUCUGUGGUUUUACGGAGCAUGUAAUAUAAAGCCAAACAGUGACGGAGCCAGGAUUUUUUUCUAGGGUGGGCCAAAAUUUUUUCCUAAUAAAAUUAUCUUAAUAUAUUAUGUUCAAAAUAAUUUUCUUAUAUUUAAAUAUAUGACAUCUAAAAAUAUCAAAUAUUAAAUUUAAUUAUAAAGAUAUGUCUAUUCAUAAAUAUACGGUACAGUCAUAACAAAAACUAACAAAAAAAUAAUUUUUGAUUAAAUAUAUUAUAACAUCACAAACCAUCCAAUUUGCACAUUAUGAGAAGAUGCUCUCUAAUAUGUCACCUGUGCAUAUAUAUAUAUAUAUAUAUAUAUAUAUAUAUAUAUAUAUAUAUAUAACCAUGUAAUAUAAAUGUAACUAUUUUCAAUUGAAAAAAGAUAAAAGUUAUGUUAAUAUACUUUAAAAUUUCAACAUCUUUUCUUAGAAGUAAAUUGAGUUCUACGCUCUUUUAUAGAACUUAAUUCAUCUAUGAUUGAAUCACUGCUAAAUUUUUCAGUAACUUCCUUUUCUAUAUACACAGUUAGACAAUCAUUCAAGAAAUUAUCUUCCAUCUUGUUUCGGAGCUUUGUCUUGAUUAUUUUCAUAAUUAAAAAUGCCCGCUCUGUAGUUGCAGUUGAUAUAGGAAGAGUAAGAACAAGUCUAAUCAAUCUGUCAAUAAGAGGAUAUAUUACUAAUUUUCUUAUCUUCACCAAGCCUUGACAUAACUCAUGAAUACCAGAUAAUUCUUGCAAUUCAGGAUAAUUUGGAAUGCCGAGCUCAAAAUGUGGAAGUUCUAUUCUUAGACGUACUAGUUCUUGCUCCAUAAAAUCAUUCGGAUAGAAUUUCUCUGCAAGUUUACAAAUACAAUCAAUCUUGAACAACAUAAAUCCAUUUCUAGGAUCUAAAGUAGUGCUCAAAACAAGCAAUUCCAUGGUAUGAUCAUUAAACCUGCUAUAUAACUCUUGCAAUUGAUAAUCAAUUGUUGCAAGAAAUAUAUCCACUAGAUGACCAAUUCAUAUAUACAUAUAUAUAUCAACUCUCAUAAUAUAAACUAAAAUUGUAAAAAUUUAGGGGGGCCAAUUUUAUUUUACACACAUAUUUACAUAUUAUGAAUUAAAAUUUUUAAAAUUUAGGGGGGCCAUGGCCCCCCGCUGCUCCUCCUUGGCUCCAUCAUUGAAGCCAAACACAUGCUGGAUUAGUUAGUAAAGACGAAUCACUUAUAAUAAUUUAUGAUUCUGAGAAUAUGUUCUGGUCCAUGAUGGUGAUUAGAGUUGAAAUCAGCCAAAUCUAAUCUUGAAAGAAAAAAUGUAACAUAAAUAACAAUCGUGUAAUAAUUGAACAUAAGACAAUUAUAUUUUGUCCCACCCAGUGGCAAAGGUGCUUAACUAGCCAAUUGGUGUUUAUAGAUGAUGGAAAGGUAUUUACAAAUAACAAUUACAGUAAUCAAAUCUAUCUCCCAUCUCCCCUCCUCCCCACCCCUCCUAUGUUGUUGUCCAUUUGACACAAGAGUUCGAAUUUGGAGCUGAAAUUUGAUCACGCCGAUUAACUACUGAUUUUUCAUGGGAAAAGUGUAAUCAACAAUUCUUGUUUUGAAAAUAUUAUUUUUACAUUAUGAAUUUUUUCCUUCUCUCAAUUUUUCCCCUGACACAGAUGGGCCUAUAGUUUUGGCCUCGCUGUCCACGUCCAAUAGUCUGUAAAACAUGUAAUGCUCGUAGAAAUCCCACAAGCAUUUUGUGGAAUUCAAAAAGUCCUUGCAGCCCAAGGCAUGUUCACAUUAAAAAAUAAAUAUUUUUAAGAAAAUUUUUUGACAAAAAUUCAUUGAACCAGUGAUAUCGCAUGUACACUGAAAAUGGUUAGAUUCAUGACACAUAUAUAAAAAUUUAAUUUUAAAUUUAAACUCAAAUUAGUUAUCAUACAUCCAACGGUAAUAAUAUAUAUAAUGUUAGUAUAUGUAAGUACGAGUAUAAACGAAUCUAAUCAAUAAAAAUACCCUAGUACUCAGAUUUGUUUGAUUAUGUUAACAAGAUUAAAAUUUUGUUUAAAUUUGGCUUAUUUAUUUGACGAACAGAGUUUGAACUACCUUUUUAUCAAAUUUGAAUGUUAUCGAAUAUAAAACAUUAUUCAAAUUUGGUUCGACUAGUUAUCGAAUCAAACUUGAAUGGGCCCUUAACAAGUCGAACUCGAUCUGAGUAUUAAGUAACUUGAUUCACCUUUUAGCAUAAGAUUAAUGCAUAAAGUGUAAAUAGAAAACAGCUUUGAUAUACAGUGGCAGUUUCCAACAACGAUGCUUUUACUCGGGCAUUAGCUUUGAUAUAGGCUUUAGUAGAAAUAGGUGGUUCUGCCCAGUUUUUCAAACGCCAAGCAGAAGAAUCGAAACUGUUACUUGUCCUAGGCAGGAAAAUGUUCUAUUCAUGUUUAUAAGAACAGUACAAACUUCAUGGUCUAUUUCUUUUUUAUCUUACCAAAGGACAAAAUAAUCCACAAGAAGUAGGCUUCGAUUUCCCUUGGCUUAGGGUCUGUUUGGUUGGAAGUAAAAUAUUUUUCUUGAGAAAAUAUUUUCCGUGGAAGUAAUUUUUCAUGAAAAUCAUUUUCCUUUCAUCAUUUUCAGGUGUUUGGUUAGCUUAUUGAAAAUAUUUUCUUACUUCAUUUUUCUGGUGUUUGUUUAACCUUUGAAAUAUUUCACUUUUAUCUCUAUCUUUACUUUCUACACAUUAUAACUACAUACUUCUUCCCAUGCAAAAUAAGAAAAUUUAUCUCAUUGUUUAACUUUAAAAAAUCUUGGAGAAAUGUAUAUAUGAAUAAAAAAAUAUCUCCUUAAACAAUAAACAAAUUACUGGCCAUUUAGUGUCAAAUAUCAAUCACAUGCAAUGCUUAUUGUGACAUAUAUCUUGCACUCUCACUGCUGAAAGUUUCUCUAGAAAAGAAUGUCCCUGUUAUACAUAAUUAAUUACUAGCAUAGGAUGAGCAGGAUGAGGUUUUUUUUAUUUUGAAUAUACUAGGGGAGUUGGGUUGGGUUGGGUUGGGUGGUACGGGGGAGAGAGUGUACGGAAGAGGUUUUGGGUUCGAGCCCUCCUGUUUACACUAAAAAAAAAAAAAAAGAACAUACUACAAGAUGAUUUCAAUAAGUUUGGGACAUACUACAGGCAAGAUGCAUGCAUUUCGGAAAACAAUUUCAGUAAGUUUGGAAGGGAAGUCUGAAGUUGUUUUCCAUAAGAUGAGUGAAAAUAUUUUACAUAGGAAAAUAUUUUCAGUAACUUUUGUGCAACCAAACACGGGAAAUUAAGAAAAUAUUUUCCUGAAAAACAUUUUCACCCAAAACAAACGGACCCUUACUGUUGAAUUGAACUUGAAGCUUUAGAUCCAAUCACUAUAAACAGUUUCCUGAUAGAACUGCCUAGCAAGUAGCAAUGGGUUCAAUAUUUAGUUAUGUUAUCCUUUAGGUUCUAAAUGAUCUCAGGUUGGAAUAUAAAAGGCCAUCAUAAGAUUUCUUGCCAGUUUUAACUCGAAUCUCUGAGGACAUAUCAACUGGACUAACAAAUUGAAAUGGUCAUUUGGCCUGAUUUUUUUACUAGAGUUGCAGAAAAUGAAACCUCAAUUCGGUUUCCAGAAAUUUAGCUUAUUAAGUAGAAAGAAACUCAAGUUAGGCACAAUAACAAUUUGCACUAACAAGUUCCGUUCUUAAUGAAUUUCACGCACUAGUUCUUCAUCUAUUACAACUCUUUAUUCAUACAAAACAAAUUGAUACAUAAAAAUGCACCUGGUGCUUAAGUACAUCUAAGAAUUUCUACUAACAAGAAUGUGAUUUUUGCAACAGGUUUAUAGAAUGAAACACAAGCCAAGCCUGCCAGCUUGGAAAGACAUGAGGCUAGGUCAACAUACACGUAGCUUCUGGGUAUACCAAUCCUAUCUUGAGCCACAGGAUUCCCAAUUCUUUCUUUCACAGUCCACCGCCGAUACUAUCUUCAGUCACUGGAUUCCCAGUUCUUUCUUCCACAAAAGAUGCAUCCAAUUUUUUUUUUGCACAAGCCAUCCAUAUAUUUAUAAGAAUAUAUUCAACCUUCCGAUCUCGGCAACACUUUAAUGUUGAGUCGUUAAUAUAUGAUUUAUUAUACCUAAUAAACUCAUUUCCUUCCAAGUUACCUCCUCAUAAGUCGGAAUAAAUCGCCCCCACAAUCAAUCUCAUGUAUAUAUAUUUAUAUCAAUUUAUCAAUUAAUUCACCUCACAACGCAGUAACAAUUAAUAUCAAUAACUUAUACAUAGAAACCGUGGUCGUACAACAUGAUCAAUCUCUCACUUGAAGACACCAAGCACAUGAAACACAAGAACGGCCGAAUUCAUCACCAAAUUUAAGUUUCUGCAAAAGUAAUGUUUCAUGUCCAGCAGCACGGAAUAGAUAUAUCUCCUUCAUAAUUAAAGUGAAUGAAUACCUGUAUCGUUGAAGACCAAUUGAGCUUCCAACAGCUCCGAUUAAGCUUUACAACUGCACCGCUUCUAUUUCUCUGCUUGUGUUUCGAAUCUUGCCAUCAAUAUUUAAAGGUAGAUUUCGGUUUAGGGUUAUGUCAAAAUUAGUUUGAGUGACCAAUGUACCCUUUAUCAUCAUGGCCAAAAGGACAAAGGGACCGCAGAUGUUGGAAAACUUGCUAAAUUAGCCCCUGAUAAGUCUUUUUAUAAAUUUUUGGAAUUCCAUUUUUUGGGUUUAGAGCAAUAAUUUAGGAGCUAAUUACAGUAAACACCCAAUAGAAUUGGGGGUAGUUACACUUUGCCCCCAAAGCCCACAAAAACAUGCAAUCAAGGGACACUUUAUACCAAGAACAUUAUACUUAAAAGAUUCCAUUAGACCUUAGACAAAAAUUGACAGUUAAAAUCUUCUAAUACUCACACUAAUUUCAUUUUACCCUUCUAUAUUUUUUGUAUAUGACAUUUUAGAUACUAGUGUUAGUAUAAUUUGUAAAUUCUAUUAAAAGAAAACUCACAACUGUUAAAGAUACUCAUCUUUUACUUUGCUUUGUUUUUUUUUUCUGCCUUUUUUUCCUUUAGUUUAUUGUAUAUAACUUUUAAUUUUUUAGCUUCCACAGUCACUAUUAAAAACACUUAUAGAGAUAGAAAAAUCUUUUUUUUUUCUCCUUUACAAAGUGAUUUAUUUUUGUUUGUAAACGGAGGACUGUACAUGUUAUAUGAUUAUGAAAAUUUAAGAUAUGAUUAUGAAAAUCUUAAUUAGAACAAUCCUUAAUUUUCGGGUUAUAAAAUGUGUAUGCAUUAUUCAUGUAUUAAUCCAAUAGAGUUAAGGUUACUUUAUGUUGAUCUUACUAAUGUUAUUGUUGUUUAAAUAUUUAUUAACAACAUGGUAAUUCUUCUAUAGUUGGAUUUCAGGGAAGUUUCUUUUUUUUUUUUUAUUUCCAGAAAACAAGCAAAUUAAUAGCAGUGAGACCCAUCUAAGAUGCAUAUUCUGUAGGUUGGGUAUAGGCUGGGCAUUGGCAAGAUCAAGUUUCUUUAAUUCUUCAUAACUUUUCCAGUUUUUUUUCUUUCUAUAUACUUGAAUGGGUAAAACAAGGUCAUGGCCUCAUGGGUAUCCUCCUUUUGACAUGGUAUAAUUUCUUUUUUCAAUUGUAGAGCAAAUUGGAUAUGUUGUAAAAGGGGCAAAAAGAAAAAAGAAAAGAAAAGCUCACCACAUAUUGCGACCAUGUUGUCCCUAGAUUGUUGUUUCGAUUUGCACAAUAUUUGCAAGUAGCUUCUAACGUAGCUAAGAGUUCCUAAGGGAGUUUUGUCCUCUACAAUGGGUAGGUUUCCAAUUCCAUUGGCUUUGUAUUGCGUUGAAUUUGAAGGUUCUGAUCUAUUCACUGUGAAUUCUUGCACACAAUACAGGGUUGGAAUCUCCUAAUGUAUGAAGAAAAUGAUCAUAUAUGAACAUCUGCAGAGUACAAUUAAGGAUAUAACAAAAUGCUACAAGAUGUAAGCGUUACAUAGGUUGUUCGUGGCCUUGUUUGAAUUGCGAGUUCUUGUAAAAAAAAUUUUCUCAAUAUUUGUCAAUAUUGCUAAAGUAUAAUUUUUUUACAAAAGCUUCAAAAAAAUAAAAACUUACAAUCCAAACGAGGUAAGUGUCAACUUUACGGCUUUCCAAUAGAAUUAUUUCUGCCAAUUAUAACUGUCUUCGAGAAAGAACAUCUCGACAAAUUAAAUGGCAACUUUGCUGAUCUUUUCAACAAACAAUUGCAGGAAAAAUAGCAUAUUAAGCAGGGGAAGAAAAUCAAUUUACAUUCACAAUGAAUUUCAUACACGAGUUGUUAUUCUUCAAAGUACAAAAAGUAAGAAAAUGUAAAAAAUUUCAAUAAAGCAUUGGUUUGCUUCCCAUUCACACGAAAAACAUAUUGAUACAUCAUAUGCCUUCGGCGUGACAAGAAUAAUCUUUCCGAAAGUAAGCCUAAUACAAUGGCUGUUAUACUCAAUUCCUAGAGCUAACAAUGAAAACGUAACAUACUUAUAUCCAAUUUCUUUUGCACAAGCCAUCCACAUUCUUUCGCUCAAGCCACAAUUUCUUUGGCAAUCCACAUUCCAAUUUCUUUUGCACAAGCCAUCCACAUUCGUUUGCACAAGCCACAAUUUCUUUUGCACAAGCCCAACCUCAAUCCAAAUGGUAGAAACAAGGACGAAUUGCAAACAUAUUGUAAAGACAGGAACUGUUUUCGUCAUAUGCAAAUUGGCUGACAAGGUAGCUAACAUUGGUCCCAAGAGGGAUGAAUUCAACAUUAGUUAGGCAGAUAAGAAGUCGAAACUGAGAGAUGCUGUGGUGGCAUGUGCAACCAAAAGUCAUACCACAAAUAAUGACGUUUGUCAUUCGAUAUAUCAAUCGAAAUAUUUCAAUAUAUCCUAUAAAUCUAUCUCACGAGGCAGUAACAAUUAAUCUCAUCCAUAUAUUUUUUCUAAAAUAUACCUAUUAAUUCACCUCAUGAGGCAAUAAUAACUAAUUCCAUCAACUUAUACAAAGAAACCGUGGUCACAAAACCUAAUUAAUUUCUGGUUCGGAGAUGCCAAGCACAUGAAACACAACAAGAAUAGCACAAAACAUCACCAAAUCUAAAUUUCUGCAGAAAUAAUGUUUCACCUCCAACAGCACCGAAUGGGUACAUGUCUAAAACCAUGACUGCGCCGCUUCUACUCUCCUUGCGUUUGGAAUCACUCGGAAUCGAUAUUUAAACGCAUAUAUCCUCUUUAGGGUUACGCUAGAUGGACCACUAUACCCUUUAUUGUGCAAAUUGCUAAAACAGCCCCUUAGAAGUCAUAUAUUCGAUUGGUCUCAUCGAAAUUUGAAAUUGUCAUAUUUUUCCUUUUGAAUUAUCCCCAAAUAUUUGUCACAUACCCAAAUGGAUAAUUAAAUCCCUCUUGUUCAAUUUUUUACCCUUUAGGAUUCCCUCAUAUUUUACAUUUAUUAGUGGACCUCUUGAAUUUCAUUUGUUAUGGACAAAAGUUGUUUUGCAACAUAAAAAAAAAAAAAGGCUAAAACUUGCACUGAAUUGGUACUACGCACAAGAAGUUCAAAUUCCAAAAUAUGACAAAAGCUUUUGGGAUGGAGGGAGUUUAAGUUUUGUAGAUUUCAUAUUUAGAGUCCAAAAUUAAAGGUUUGUCACAGUAAAUACCUUUUUAUAUUAGUUCUGAAGUACUAGUAUUAGUUUAAAUUGUAAACUCGUUAAAAUAAAAAUUCACAAUUUUUCUGCGUACUCAUCUUUUCCAUUUCUUUUUUCUUCCCCUUUUUCUUACCCUCCUGACGUUUAUCAUUCUUUUUAGGGAUAAUUGCAGAAACCUCUCCUGAGAUUUCUGACAUUUGCACUGACCUCUCCUGUGGUUUGAAAAAUUACACUAACCUCCCCUGAGGUUACUAAUCCUUUGUAAAUUUAGUCCAAAUGAUUAAAAUAUUAUUUUAGAGAGUGAAAUUAGAAUUUUGUACCAGAUUUGCCCUUUGUUCUACAUAUCCAAUGAAUGACAAAGUAUUAUAAAUCAAUUAACAAUUAAUAAAUUUUAAGGAGUACAAUUUAUGGGCAAACACGCAUUACUCAUUUAAAGUACCAGUUCUUUACGAGUAUUUUGCUUUCAAAUAUUUAAUUUAUGAUAAAUAUAUCAAUAUUUGUAACUAAAAUUCAAAAAUUGUUAUAGUAAUAUUCUUGCAAAAAGGAAAUCAAUAGGUUAUUUAUUUAAUAUAAAUUAAAUAAUUUUUUUAAAAAAAUAAAUGCUCCAUAAAGUAUUAAUUUUUUAUAACUUUCAUCCAUUACACGAGUAAAGUAUUCGCUCUUUAUGUGCAUUUUAUUCUGAAUCAUUUAAUUUAUGUUAAAUACAUAAAUGUUUGUAACUAAAAUUGAAAAAGUGUUAUAUUAAUAUUUUUACGGAAGAGAGAUUGGUAGGUUUUGUAUUUAACAAAAAUUAAAUAUUUGAAAGUAAAUACAAAUCUGAAUUUGAGCGUAAAUAUUUGUAUUAAAUUAAAUGUUUGAAAGUAAAAUACCCUUAAAGAACCGGUACUUUAAAUAGUUACCGACUCUCUAUAGGCAAACACGUAUUACUCAUUUAAAGUACCGGCUUUUUUCGGAUAUUUUACUUUCAAACAUUUAAUUUAUGAUAAAUAUAUCAAUAUUUGUUAGUAAAAUUCAAAAAGUGUUACAGUAAUAUUCUUGUAAAAAAGAAAUCGGUAGGUUAUUUAUUUAAUAUAAAUUAAAUAUUUUUUUUUAAAAUGACCCAUAAAGUAUUAAUUCUUUAUGGCUUUCAUCCAUUACAUGAGUAAAGUAUUGACUUUUUAUGGGUAUUUUAUUUUGAAUCAUUUAAUUUAUGUUAAAUACAUAAAUGUUUGUAACUAAAAUUAAAAAGUGUUAUAUUAAUAUUUUUACGGAAGAGAGAUUGGUAGUUUUUGUAUUUAACAAAAAUUAAAUAUUUGAAAGUAAAUACAAAUAUGUAUUUAAGCGUAAAUAUUUGUAUUAAAUUAAAUGUUUGAAAGUAAAAUACCCAUAAAGAACCGAUACUUUAAAUAGGCAAUGCAUAUUUGCCUAUAAACUAUACUCCUUAAAUUUUAUUAAUUAUUAAUUGAUUUAUAGUAUUUUGUUAUUCAUUGGAUAUGUAAUACAAAGGACAAAUUUGAUAAAAAAAAUUCUAAUUUCACUCCCUAAAACAAUAUUUUAAUCAUUUGGACUGAAUUUGCAAAGGAUUAGUAACCUCAUGGGAGGUUAGUGUAAUUUUUCAAACCACAAGGGAGGUCAUUGCAAAUGUCAGAAACCUCAGGGGAGGUUUCUGCAAUUAUCCCUUCUUUUUAACUAAUGUAAGCAUUGAAUUUCCACAUUCGAUAUUAGCUUAAAAGUGAUUUAUGUUUGCUAAUAAAUGGAACUACCCAAGUCAUCAUCUUGACAUGUAUAAAAUAAUUAACAGGAUUUAAAGGUAUUGAUUAAGCAAACUGCAGCUAGGAAAUUUUCCUUGAAAAAUAACCCAAAAAAAAAAAAAAAACAUCAUCAUAGAAAAAUCAACCAACAUUUUGCUGAGUCCAAAUAGGACCUUUUUUUUGCUGGGAUUAAGGGUUAGUAAAUUUGCCGAAAAAGUCUUUGGGCUUUGGUAAUAAAAAAUAGGACCUUUUUUUUGGAGGAUCAUCCUAAUCAACCAAAAGAAAGAAUAAAAAGUAACCAGACAUCCAAUCCACAACGAAACAUCUACUGGAGCCUGGAGUUUGAGCAAAUCAGCUUGUGACUGUCUGCAGAGGAAAAACUACCAACAACUAGUAGAGAAAUCCAGAAUUCCAGAUAAAGAAACAUCACUCGCAAAACUAGAUUUCCAAUAAUCAAAAACAUAAGAUGCCCUAUAGAUAGUCAUUAGCACAAGUCAUUUAACUUGAUCCAUCAACCUGCAAUUGUUUUUGGUUGGCCACUAAUACCAUCAAGCAAAUCAGACAAACGUCAGACUGAACAGAAAUACCGAUGUUAACUGUGUUAAGAUGGCUAUAAUGGACGUUUAAUGAAUCCAUAAUGAGGCAAACCCAUCCCACUUAGGGGCCAGAAACAAUAGCAGAACAUCCACUGAAAACAUCCGAAAGAAGCCUAAUAACAGACCAUCUUUCCUCCACAAAAACCCCAUCCCAAGUGAGAGUAUGCCCUUCUACAAGGGAAUACAAUAAGAACGAACUAGAAAUUGUCCUACAAAAGUGAAGGAAAAUGUAAGAACAGAAUGGACUCGCUUAGAUAA
RNAcentral lists this long non-coding RNA (22338 nucleotides) under Coffea arabica (coffee). RNAcentral's name for it is "long non-coding RNA (CARA_LNC000059)". The record is from RNAcentral. Lineage: Eukaryota; Viridiplantae; Streptophyta; Magnoliopsida; Gentianales; Rubiaceae.